GAUGAACGCACAAGACGUGCCUAACACAUGCAAAUCGAAUGAAAGCCUUUUUUGAAUUAAAGGUUUUCAUGGUGAACGGGUGAGUAAUACAUGAGAAUCAACUUUUAGAUAAGGCAUAAUAAGAGUAAUAUCUUGGUAAUUCCUUAUAUGCGCACUAGUGCUUAAAAAGGGAAGGUAUAUGUUCCCGUCCCGUCUAAAAACGAGCUCAUGCCUGAUUAGCUAGUUGGUGGGAUAAUAGCUCACCAAGGCGAAGAUCAGUAGCUGGCCUGAGAGGGUGGUC
This 280-nucleotide ribosomal RNA is filed under the name Apicomplexa sp. RNAcentral describes it as "partial small subunit ribosomal RNA". It matches the Rfam family "Bacterial small subunit ribosomal RNA", at positions 28 to 305 of the family's 1533-position model. Lineage: Eukaryota; Apicomplexa. The record is from RNAcentral.